GGGGGGGGGGGGGGGGGGGCGGGGCGGGGGCGGGUCGGGCGGGGCCCGGCCGGGGGGGGGGGGGCCUAGCGGGGGACGGGUGAGUAACACGUGGGCAACCUGCCCUCAGCGCUGGGAUAACUCCGGGACACCGGGGCUACUACCGGAUACGACCUCCACGGGCAUCUGCGGAGCUGGAAAGUUUUUCGGCUGAGGCUGGGCCCUCGGCCUCUCAGCUAGUUGGUGGGGUAGUGGCCCACCAAUGCGACGACGGGUAGCCGGCCUGAGAGGGCGACCGGCCACACUGGGACUGAGACACGGCACAGACUCCUACGGGAGGCAGGAGUGGGGAAGAGUGCGCAAGGGGCGAAAGCGUGACGCAGCGACGCCGAGUGAGGGAGGAAGGCCUUCGGGUUGUAAACCUCUUUCAGCAGGGACGAAGCGAAAGUGACGGUACCUGCAGAAGAAGCACCGGCCAACUACGU
This 464-nucleotide ribosomal RNA is filed under the name uncultured bacterium. Its description in RNAcentral is "partial 16S ribosomal RNA". It matches the Rfam family "Bacterial small subunit ribosomal RNA", at positions 38 to 506 of the family's 1533-position model. The record is from RNAcentral.